UAAUAAGUGUUCUACUGCACUUUUUAAACAAGUACUCACCUUGUGUGCAAUGUUUGCUGUCGAGACGAAUAAACGACUCGACAGCACAAUACCAACCUUUUAUUGUAAAUUUUUUGUCUGAAGCUAUUUCGAAUAUAUAAUUCUAAAUA
This 149-nucleotide unclassified non-coding RNA is filed under the name uncultured Mortierella. Its description in RNAcentral is "sequence contains ITS1". Lineage: Eukaryota; Fungi; Mortierellomycota; Mortierellomycetes; Mortierellales; Mortierellaceae. The record is from RNAcentral.